AUUCCUUUAUGAGGUGCAACCAAAACAGCUGUUAAACAUUGCAACAGGGAUAUUCUGGCAGGGUGUCUGUGUAGCAUUAGUUCUGAAUACGGUUGUGGUUUUGAUCACUAAAAUGGCUGUGACUUUUGGACUCUCUUUGAGUGUUUCUUGGCUUUGUUGCCUGCUAAUUGGAGGGAUAAAGUGUUUUCCACUUCAAGGUGGUGCUUAUGGGCAUCCUGCCUGCACUGGACCUGAACCAACUGGAUCCCAAGCAAGUGUGGUGUCUGGUCCAAAUGCUAAAGCUACUGGCUACAAUACCCUGGCAAGUGUGAUGCAGGGUCCAAAUGCCACAGCUGAAGCAACUGCUAAACAUACCUCUGCAGUAGCGGCUGCC
Molecule: long non-coding RNA, 373 nt
Organism: Oncorhynchus tshawytscha (Chinook salmon)
Lineage: Eukaryota; Metazoa; Chordata; Actinopteri; Salmoniformes; Salmonidae
Exons: 3
Source: RefSeq, a predicted model, not a curated record